UUGUACUAGAAGUCCUAAGUCAACAGGCCCAAGGUAUCGAUUCGAAUGAUUGGGGUG
RNAcentral lists this ribosomal RNA (57 nucleotides) under uncultured bacterium. Its description in RNAcentral is "partial 16S ribosomal RNA". The record is from RNAcentral.